This 390-nucleotide ribosomal RNA is filed under the name uncultured archaeon. Its description in RNAcentral is "bacterial SSU rRNA". It matches the Rfam family "Archaeal small subunit ribosomal RNA", at positions 58 to 432 of the family's 1478-position model. The record is from RNAcentral.
UUGAAAUGGGAUACCUAAAUUUCCCAUAGCGAACUGCUCAGUAACACAUGAUCAACUUAACCUAUGGAGAAAAAUAACCUCGGGAAACUGAGGAUAAUGUUUCAUAGUUGAAUAGGCUUGGAAAAGUUUUUCAAUUAAAGGGAUAAGAUAAAUGGUUCUUAUUUGCCAUAGGAUAGGAUCGUGUUCGAUUAUGGUUGUUGGUGAGGUAAAGGCUCACCAAGCCGAUAAUCGAUAGGGGCCGUGAGAGCGGGAGCCCCGAGAUGGGUACUUAGACAGCGACCCAGACCUUACGAGGUGCAGCAGGCGCGGAACCUCCGCAAUACACGAAAGUGUGACGGGGUUACCCAAAGUGUCCUUAUUGGACUGUGGUAGGUGAGUAAUGUCCCCUAC